Molecule: ribosomal RNA, 756 nt
Filed under: Fuligo septica var. septica
Lineage: Eukaryota; Evosea; Eumycetozoa; Physariida; Physaraceae
Description: SSU rRNA
Rfam family: Eukaryotic small subunit ribosomal RNA
Source: RNAcentral
UAGCAAGUCGACCAAAGGCGAAAGCAGUCAUCAAGGGCAUACCCGUUGAUCAAGAGCGAAAGUUAAGGGUUCGAAGACGAUCAGAUACCGUCGUAGUCUUAACUAUAAAUGAUACAGACUAGGGAUAGGACACUGUCCAUCUCGACUCCUCCUGAAUCUUUGAGAAAUUACCAGUCUUUGGGUUCUGGGGGGAGUAUGGUCGCAAGGCUGAAACUUAAAGGAAUUGACGGAAAGGCACACAAAGAGUGGAACCUGCGGCUUAAUUUGACCCAACACGGGAAAACUCACCAGGUCCGGAUACACGCAUGAAAGUCAAGCUGAAAGACUUUACUCAAUGAUGUAAGUGGUGGUGCAUGGUCGUUCUUAGUUCGUGGAUUGAUUUGUCUGGUCUAUUCCGAUAACGAGCGAGACCCCAGCGUUCCUAGUAGGGCCAACAGCCCGACCAGCCGCAAGGCUGGUUAGCUGGCGGCUUAACAUAAGCUUCUUAGACGCAUCAGGGCCGAUAAGGUCCUUGAAAUGGGUUAAUAACAGGUCAGUCAUGCCCUUAGAUGUUCUGGGCCGCACGCGCGUUACAAUGGCAUGUAAAGCGAGUGCCGGUUAACAUGGCAUAUCCGGGGCCGAAAGGCUCUGGUAACCAUUAGUCCCUGCUUAGACUGGGACAGAUCAUUGCAAUUAUUGGUCUCAAACGAGGAAUUUUUAGUAAGCAUAGGUCAUUAACCUUUGCUGAAUGAGUCCCUGCCUUUUGUACACACCGCC